CGGGGCUAAUACCGGAUAACACAUGAAACCGCAUGGUUUCAUGAUGAAAGACGGUUUUGCUGUCACUUAUAGAUGGACCCGCGGCGUAUUAGCUAGUUGGUAAGGUAACGGCUUACCAAGGCAACGAUGCGUAGCCGACCUGAGAGGGUGAUCGGCCACACUGGAACUGAGACACGGUCCAG
RNAcentral lists this ribosomal RNA (182 nucleotides) under uncultured Staphylococcus sp. RNAcentral describes it as "partial 16S ribosomal RNA". It matches the Rfam family "Bacterial small subunit ribosomal RNA", at positions 158 to 334 of the family's 1533-position model. The record is from RNAcentral. Lineage: Bacteria; Bacillati; Bacillota; Bacilli; Caryophanales; Staphylococcaceae.